This 1250-nucleotide ribosomal RNA is filed under the name metagenome. Its description in RNAcentral is "SSU rRNA". It matches the Rfam family "Eukaryotic small subunit ribosomal RNA", at positions 582 to 1823 of the family's 1831-position model. The record is from RNAcentral.
AUUCCAGCUCCAAUAGGAUAUAUCAAAGUUGUUGCAGUUAAAAAGCUCGUAGUUGAAUUUCUGGAAGGUAGAAGUGUUUUUUUUAGAGAAGCAAUUUUUUAUUGAAAACACCGCUUUCCAUUUUGUGGUUUUCUGUUUUGUAUGAGAUAGUUUACUCUAUUUUUAUAUAAAAUACCACUCCGUCACUGAGAGCAAAUUGGAGUGCUCAAAGCAGGCUUUAUUAGCUUUGAACAUUUUAGCUUGGAAUGACAAGAUAUGACUUUUGUUUUAUUUUGUUGGUUAUGAAAUAAAAGUAAUGAUUAACAGGAACAGUUGCGGGGGUACUCGUACUGAAAGGUCAGAGGUGAAAUUCUUGGAUUCUUUCAAGACGAACGACUGCGAAAGCAUUUACCAAGGAUGUUUUCAUUAAUCAAGAACGAAAGCUCGGGGAUCGAAGAUGAUUAGAUACCAUCGUAGUCCGACGCCAUAAACGAUGCCGACUCGGGAUUAUUUUGUUUGUUUAAAAUAAAAAAGAACACAAAGUAGCACCGUAUGAGAAAUCAAAGUCUUUGGGUUCCGGGGGGAGUAUGGUCGCAAGGCUGAAACUUAAAGGAAUUGACGGAAGGGCACACCAGAGGUGGAGCCUGCGGUUUAAUUUGACCCAACACGGGGAAACUUACCAGGUCCAGACAUGAUGAGGAUUGACAGUUUGAAAGCACUUUCUUGAUUUCAUGGGUGGUGGUGCAUGGCCGUUCUUAGUUGGUGGAGUGAUUUGUCUGGUUGAUUCCGAUAACGAACGAGACGGGGUGAAUUUACUAGUUUGUUAUAUAAUUUACGUUAUAUAAGACUUCUUUAUUCGACAACUUGGUUUUACCAAGAGGAAGCGCCCCGCAAUAACAGGUCUGUGAUGCCCUUAGAUGUUCUGGGCUACACGCGCGCUACAAUGACGAAUUCAACGAGUUUAAAAUUCAUUCCUUAUCCGGAAGGAUGUGGGUAAUCUUUUCAAUAUUCGUCGUGAUGGGGCUAGAUUUUUGCAAUUAUUAAUCUUCAACGAGGAAUCUCUAGUAUGUGCAAGUCAUCAGCUUGCGCAGAAUGCGUCCCUGCCCUUUGUACACACCGCCCGUCGCACCUACCGAUUGGACGAUCCGGCAAGAUGUUUGGAGUUGUUCUGAUUGUAGAGUAAUUUAUGAUGAAAAUGGCAAAGCUCUUCAAACCUUAUCGUCUAGAGGAAGGUGAAGUCGUAACAAGGUCUCCGUAGGUACCUGCGGAGG